RNAcentral lists this unclassified non-coding RNA (89 nucleotides) under Pseudomonas mediterranea. Lineage: Bacteria; Pseudomonadati; Pseudomonadota; Gammaproteobacteria; Pseudomonadales; Pseudomonadaceae. The record is from RNAcentral.
UGUGGGAGCGAGCCUGCUCGCGAUGGCGUCAAUUCAGCCAGUCAUGCAUCGGCUGACACUCCGCCAUCGCGAGCAGGCUCGCUCCCACA